This 390-nucleotide unclassified non-coding RNA is filed under the name soil metagenome. RNAcentral describes it as "partial contains 5.8S ribosomal RNA, internal transcribed spacer 2, and large subunit ribosomal RNA". The stretch from base 4 to 121 matches the Rfam family "5.8S ribosomal RNA", at positions 39 to 154 of the family's 154-position model. The record is from RNAcentral.
GAUAAGAACGUAGCGAAAUGCGAUACUUGGUGUGAAUUGCAGAAUCCCGUGAACCAUCGAGUCUUUGAACGCAAGUUGCGCCCGAAGCCAUUAGGCCGAGGGCACGCCUGCCUGGGCGUCACACGUCGUUGCCCCCCCAUCUACUCCUUCGGGAUUGCGGGGGGCGGAUGAUGGCCUCCCGUGCGCCUCGUCGCGCGGUUGGCAUAAAUGCCAAGUCCUCGGCGACGCACGCCACGACAAUCGGUGGUUGCGAAACCUCGGUUGCCCGUCGUGUGCGGUCGUCGCGCAUCGAGGGCUCGAAAAAAUUGCCGGGCUCCGGCUCGGCUUUCAACGCGACCCCAGGUCAGGCGGGGUUACCCGCUGAAUUUAAGCAUAUCAAUAAGCGGAGGA